Molecule: ribosomal RNA, 676 nt
Filed under: Pasteurellaceae bacterium I47
Lineage: Bacteria; Pseudomonadati; Pseudomonadota; Gammaproteobacteria; Pasteurellales; Pasteurellaceae
Description: bacterial SSU rRNA
Rfam family: Bacterial small subunit ribosomal RNA
Source: RNAcentral
CGGUAGCACAUAGGAGUUUGCUCCUUGGGUGACGAGUGGCGGACGGGUGAGUAAUGCUUGGGAAUCUGGCUUAUGGAGGGGGAUAACUACUGGAAACGGUAGCUAAUACCGCGUAAUGUCUUAGGACUAAAGGGUGGGACCAUUUGGCCACCUGCCAUAAGAUGAGCCCAAGUGGGAUUAGGUAGUUGGUGAGGUAAAGGCUCACCAAGCCCGCGAUCUCUAGCUGGUCUGAGAGGAUGACCAGCCACACUGGAACUGAGACACGGUCCAGACUCCUACGGGAGGCAGCAGUGGGGAAUAUUGCACAAUGGGGGGAACCCUGAUGCAGCCAUGCCGCGUGAAUGAAGAAGGCCUUCGGGUUGUAAAGUUCUUUCGGUGACGAGGAAGGCGAUUGUUUUAAUAGAACAGUCGAUUGACGUUAAUCACAGAAGAAGCACCGGCUAACUCCGUGCCAGCAGCCGCGGUAAUACGGGGGGUGCGAGCGUUAAUCGGAAUAACUGGGCGUAAAGGGCACGCAGGCGGUUGUUUAAGUGAGGUGUGAAAGCCCCGGGCUUAACCUGGGAAUUGCAUUUCAGACUGGACAACUAGAGUACUUUAGGGAGGGGUAGAAUUCCACGUGUAGCGGUGAAAUGCGUAGAGAUGUGGAGGAAUACCGAAGGCGAAGGCAGCCCCUUGG